This 402-nucleotide ribosomal RNA is filed under the name Enterobacteriaceae bacterium. RNAcentral describes it as "bacterial SSU rRNA". It matches the Rfam family "Bacterial small subunit ribosomal RNA", at positions 143 to 540 of the family's 1533-position model. The record is from RNAcentral. Lineage: Bacteria; Pseudomonadati; Pseudomonadota; Gammaproteobacteria; Enterobacterales; Enterobacteriaceae.
AUAACUACUGGAAACGGUAGCUAAUACCGCAUAACGUCGCAAGACCAAAGAGGGGGACCUUCGGGCCUCUUGCCAUCGGAUGUGCCCAGAUGGGAUUAGCUAGUAGGUGGGGUAACGGCUCACCUAGGCGACGAUCCCUAGCUGGUCUGAGAGGAUGACCAGCCACACUGGAACUGAGACACGGUCCAGACUCCUACGGGAGGCAGCAGUGGGGAAUAUUGCACAAUGGGCGCAAGCCUGAUGCAGCCAUGCCGCGUGUAUGAAGAAGGCCUUCGGGUUGUAAAGUACUUUCAGCGGGGAGGAAGGCGAUAAGGUUAAUAACCUUGUCUAUUGACGUUACCCGCAUAAGAAUCACCGGCUAACUCCGUGCCAGCAUCCGCGGUAAUACGGAUGGUGCAAUCG